ACCACUGCCAAUCUAUCUACCACUGCUAAUCUAUGCCGCUGCCAAUCUAUCUACCACUGCUAAUCUAUACCGCUGCCAAUCUACCUAUCACUGCUAAUCUAUGCCGCUGCCAAUCUACCUAUCGCUGCUAAUCUAUCGCUGCUAAUCUAUCGCUGCUAAUUUAUCGCUGCUAAUCUAUUGCUGCUAAUCUAUCGCUGCUAAUCUAUUGCUGCUAAUCUAUCGCUGCUAAUCUAUCGCUGCUAAUCUAUUGCUGCUAAUCUAUCUAUCACUGCUAAUCUAUCGCUGCCAACCUACCUACCGCUGCCAAUCUAUCUACCGCUGCCAACCUACCUACUGCUGCCAACCUAUCUACCACUGCUAAUCUAUUGCUGCUAAUCUAUCGCUGCUAAUCUAUCGCUGCUAAUCUAUCUAUCACUGCUAAUCUAUCGCUGCCAAUCUACCUACCGCUGCCAAUCUAUCUACCACUGCCAACCUACCUACCGCUGCCAACCUACCUACCACUGCUAAUCUAUCACUGCCAAUCUAUAUAGGGUAAAUCAUGGUCCCAUUUGGUCCCAUUUUGUAAAAUGGGAUCAAAUGGGACUGAAAUCACUAAUUUAUUAGUAAAACAUGAUCUGAGACUAGAUUUAUAAUAUAAACAGUAUAAAGUGACUAAUUUACUAAACACUAUAUGAGAUCAGAACUAAGAUAUCUAAUAAUAAAACUGAGAAAAAAUUUGAUCUCAGUUUCAUGCAUGAUCACACAGUC
RNAcentral lists this small RNA (747 nucleotides) under Histoplasma capsulatum. Its description in RNAcentral is "hypothetical RNA". Lineage: Eukaryota; Fungi; Ascomycota; Eurotiomycetes; Onygenales; Ajellomycetaceae. The record is from RNAcentral. RNAcentral also lists the same sequence under 1 other name.